AAAUCAUUGAGAGUCGUCUUAUUGAAUCAUUGAUAUGAUAUUAUGCUCUCGUAAUUGCUUGUCAUCAUCUUUUAUCCUAGCUUCUCCAUUUGUAUUGAAAGUGCAUUGCGUUAAAGAUAUGCUCUUCAGUUGUUACAACUUUAGACAAGGGAAGCCUGGACAGAAGCUAGAGCAAGGACAACAAGGGAGAUUUUAUGCAUUGGGGUCACAAAAUACAGAGUCAAAUGCCUUAGUGGAAGAUGCAGGCUAGGAAACCUAUGCAGGAAAUAAUGCUUGAGCAAUGCUUUAUGGUGAUUGGAUGUUGUUUGCUCAAUUGAAAGUCUUUUGAGGCUUUGUCUUUGUAUUAAAGGCUGAAUCUUUUUGUAGGAAUGAUGUAAUAUAUAUAAUUAUCGAGUACACUUGUAGUAAGGGCUACCUGUAGUGAACAAGGGGGUUUUGAUAUAUGUAAAUUAACGUAGUAUAAGUUUCUUUUAAGAAACGAACCAUAUUUUAUUAAC
Molecule: long non-coding RNA, 497 nt
Organism: Vitis riparia (riverbank grape)
Lineage: Eukaryota; Viridiplantae; Streptophyta; Magnoliopsida; Vitales; Vitaceae
Exons: 4
Source: RefSeq, a predicted model, not a curated record